Molecule: non-coding RNA, 28 nt
Filed under: Mus musculus (house mouse)
Lineage: Eukaryota; Metazoa; Chordata; Mammalia; Rodentia; Muridae
Source: RNAcentral
UGCUCACUUGCCAGGCAUUCACAAACAC